UACGAAGGGGGCUAGCGUUGCUCGGAAUCACUGGGCGUAGAGCGCACGUAGGCGGACUCUUAAGUCGGUGGUGAAAUCCUGGAGCUCAACUCCAGAACUGCCUUCGAUACUGGGAGUCUUGAGUCCGGGAGAGGUGAGUGGAACUGCGAGUGUAGAGGUGAAAUUCGUAGAUAUUCGCAAGAACACCAGUGGCGAAGGCGGCUCACUGGCCCGGUACUGACGCUGAGGUGCGAAAGCGUGGGGAGCAAACAGG
Molecule: ribosomal RNA, 253 nt
Filed under: uncultured bacterium
Lineage: Bacteria
Description: partial 16S ribosomal RNA
Rfam family: Bacterial small subunit ribosomal RNA
Source: RNAcentral